ACUCUGGAAUAAGCGCUGGAAACGGCGUCUAAUACUGGAUACGAGAUCAAGCCGCAUGGUUAUGGUCUGGAAAGUUUUUCGGUUUGGGAUGGGCUCGCGGCCUAUCAGCUUGUUGGUGAGGUAAUGGCUCACCAAGGCGACGACGGGUAGCCGGCCUGAGAGGGCGACCGGCCACACUGGGACUGAGACACGGCCCAGACUCCUACGGGAGGCAGCAGUGGGGAAUAUUGCACAAUGGGCGAAAGCCUGAUGCAGCGACGCCGCGUGAGGGAUGACGGCCUUCGGGUUGUAAACCUCUUUCAGCAGGGAAGAAGCGAAAGUGACGGUACCUGCAGAAGAAGCACCGGCUAACUACGUGCCAGCAGCCGCGGUAAUACGUAGGGUGCGAGCGUUGUCCGGAAUUAUUGGGCGUAAAGAGCUUGUAGGCGGUUUGUCGCGUCUGCUGUGAAAAUCCGGGGCUCAACCCCGGACUUGCAGUGGGUACGGGCAGACUAGAGUGUGGUAGGGGAGACUGGAAUUCCUGGUGUAGCGGUGAAAUGCGCAGAUAUCAGGAGGAACACCGAUGGCGAAGGCAGGUCUCUGGGCCACUACUGACGCUGAGAAGCGAAAGCAUGGGGAGCGAACAGGAUUAGAUACCCUGGUAGUCCAUGCCGUAAACGUUGGGCGCUAGGUGUGGGACUCAUUCCACGAGUUCCGUGCCGCAGCUAACGCAUUAAGCGCCCCGCCUGGGGAGUACGGCCGCAAGGCUAAAACUCAAAGGAAUUGACGGGGGCCCGCACAAGCGGCGGAGCAUGCGGAUUAAUUCGAUGCAACGCGAAGAACCUUACCAAGGCUUGACAUAUACCGGAAACUUCCAGAGAUGGUUGCCCCCUUUGGGUCGGUAUACAGGUGGUGCAUGGUUGUCGUCAGCUCGUGUCGUGAGAUGUUGGGUUAAGUCCCGCAACGAGCGCAACCCUCGUUCUAUGUUGCCAGCACGUUAUGGUGGGGACUCAUGGAAGACUGCCGGGGUCAACUCGGAGGAAGGUGGGGAUGACGUCAAAUCAUCAUGCCCCUUAUGUCUUGGGCUUCACGCAUGCUACAAUGGCCGGUACAAAGGGCUGCGAUACCGCAAGGUGGAGCGAAUCCCAAAAAACCGGUCUCAGUUCGGAUUGGG
This 1153-nucleotide ribosomal RNA is filed under the name Janibacter terrae. RNAcentral describes it as "bacterial SSU rRNA". It matches the Rfam family "Bacterial small subunit ribosomal RNA", at positions 135 to 1302 of the family's 1533-position model. The record is from RNAcentral. Lineage: Bacteria; Bacillati; Actinomycetota; Actinomycetes; Micrococcales; Intrasporangiaceae.